This 253-nucleotide ribosomal RNA is filed under the name uncultured bacterium. RNAcentral describes it as "partial 16S ribosomal RNA". It matches the Rfam family "Bacterial small subunit ribosomal RNA", at positions 524 to 776 of the family's 1533-position model. The record is from RNAcentral.
UACGGAGGGUGCAAGCGUUAUCCGGAUUUACUGGGUUUAAAGGGUGUGUAGACGGACUUUUAAGUCAGCGGUGAAAUCUCCGGGCUCAACCCGGAAACUGCCAUUGAUACUAUUGGUCUUGAAUAUUGUGGAGGUGGGCGGAACGGGUCAUGUAGCGGUGAAAUGCUUAGAGAUGACCCGGAACACCGAUUGCGAAGGCAGCCCACUACGCAAUGAUUGACGCUGAGGCACGAAAGCGUGGGGAUCAAACAGG